UGCAUUAAGCCAUGAACAAUAAAUAUCUUGAGUAAUUACACACAAAGAAAGACACCAAAUUCUGCAUAUAAUAUUAAUUAACUAAACAUCAAAUAUAACCUUACAGAGAAAAUGGUUUUGCCUUUUCAAAUAACAAUAAGGCUUUCCAAUCCAAGAUAUUCUCUAUAUUUAUUCUGAAUAACACCCUAGCAUUUUAUAAGGACAACCACAAAAAUUGCUAAAGUAGCCUAAAUAUCUAAUGAAAAAAUUAUAGAUAAAGACAAUAUAUCACUAAGUUCCUUUCAUGUUUCAUCAAUUGAUGAAUUUUUUAAUGAAAGUUACUACUAACUAGUAACUAACUAUUGCAUAAUCUUCUAGAAACCAAACCAAACCAAAACCUUUUGCUAAUGUAACUAAAAACUACUAUAACAUGUAAGAAGAUCUUACAUGUGUCAAUAAGUUGUUAAUUCCUUCCACCAAUUCAGUUGCAAAAACAGCAGCAUCCUUCUUUAGUCUUUUCUGACUAAAUUGAAUAGCUGUUAUGUAUGAAACUGAGCUUUUGUAACUCUUUCUCUUUGCUUAUGUUUCUGAAACUACAUGAUUGCUGAAAUUCCGGUAUCUACUCGAUAUGAAAACGGGCUGUCCGGGAGAUUUAGUCCUUCGUUGCUGCAUAAAAUAAGUUCAAAUAAAAUAUACAGAUACGGAAAGUUAAGACAUUUGAUUUGUCUAAUGUGAGACGAGCGACCAUUGUGGUCUAGUGCACGAGGCAUCCAUUAGGUAGGAUAUCGAGAGGGUAGAUGUAUGCAGUCUUUGUUAAGAAAUCUCAUAUUGGAUGUGAGUUAGCCUGAAUAUGGGUUUAUAAGUAAGUGGCAAUCAUCACCGUACAAGCUGGUUUUGUAGGGUUGAGUUAGACCCAACUCUCAAUUCUAAAAUGGUAUCAAAGCCUCUCGGCUCCAAGAUCCGUUGGUCGGGCCACCCACAAUUUGUAUCCACACACCAAGCCCAAUAGUUCUGGGCGUGAGGGGGUGUGUUAAGA
Molecule: long non-coding RNA, 1015 nt
Filed under: Trifolium pratense (red clover)
Lineage: Eukaryota; Viridiplantae; Streptophyta; Magnoliopsida; Fabales; Fabaceae
Description: long non-coding RNA (TPRA_LNC009834)
Source: RNAcentral